This 530-nucleotide ribosomal RNA is filed under the name Sticta sp. RL-2013af. Its description in RNAcentral is "eukaryotic LSU rRNA". It matches the Rfam family "Eukaryotic large subunit ribosomal RNA", at positions 102 to 646 of the family's 3401-position model. Lineage: Eukaryota; Fungi; Ascomycota; Lecanoromycetes; Peltigerales; Lobariaceae. The record is from RNAcentral.
CAACAGCUCAAAUUUGAAAUCUGGCCCCCUCGGGGUCCGAGUUGUAAUUUGUAGAGGGUGCUUCGGGCGCGAUGCCGGUCUAAGUUCCUUGGAACAGGACGUCGUAGAGGGUGAGAAUCCCGUAUGCGACCGGCAGUCAAGCCCGUGCGAAGCCCCUUCGACGAGUCGAGUUGUUUGGGAAUGCAGCUCAAAAUGGGUGGUAAAUUUCAUCUAAAGCUAAAUACCGGCCAGAGACCGAUAGCGGACAAGUAGAGUGAUCGAAAGAUGAAAAGCACUUUGGAAAGAGAGUCAAACAGUACGUGAAAUUGUUGAAAGGGAAGCGCUUGCAAUCAGACCGGUCCGGAGGUGAUCAGCCGCUGCUCGUCAGCGGUGCACUCGCCUGCGAUCCGGCCAGCAUCGGUUUGGGCGGCGGGAUAAAAGUCCCGGGAAUGUAGCUUCUUCCGGGGAGUCUUAUAGCCCGGGUCGCAAUGCCGCCCGCCCGGACCGAGGACCGCGCUUCGGCUAGGAUGCUGGCGUAAUGGUUGCAAGCG